AGUAGGUGAUGUAUGUUAAUUGCAAGAUCAUCACAGUGACGUCAUACCAACACUUAGCCAGUGAAGCGUUCAUCUUGCUGAGUUCGCUCCUCCCCGUCGAUGAUAUCCAUAUAAGUAUUCCAACACCUCACUUCAAGAACCCCUUCGACAUCAGCAUCCCGCCACACCGUAUUCUCUCACCGCUCAACACCAAUUUGUCAAAACUCUUGAACGCACCCUCUUCUCCCCCCAGAACAUUGGUAAGCUUGAUCGAGAAAGGGCUCUUUUCCCUCUUCUUCCAUUCUCUUUGACACGACUCAUUUUGAUUUGGUGUGAUGGUUUAGCUAAAUAAUAUCGGUGGCUUCUGGUAGCUCUACAGUGGAAUUUCGGCUUGCUAACAUUUUUCUUACUGAAUAGAUACCGAACUGUAUAUAAGCAUUAAGGUAUUAGAAACAAUUUUUCUCGAACUUCCCCCCUUUCUGGUGCGUACAGACAGGGAAAGUCUCUGCGCUGCAUCACGGGUUGGAGAUUCGCAACUUCUGUGCCUGUAAGUUGGUGAAGAAAACACAAUGCUGUCGUAUGGACAGGUUGGAUUUGUUGCAGUGUCUAUGCUGUUUCUACUACAGAUAGUUACUGGUCUCAACAUUCAUAGAUUAACCCAAUCUCAGGAUCCAGUGCAAUCAGCAGCAGAGCAAGAGAUUGCCCACUUACUCCAACGUUAUCCAGAACAACAGGUCCUUGACAGAAAUAAGCGAUUUCCCAAAUUUUUGACGUGUGAAACAGACGACGACUGCGCAAGGUUAGAUCGGCCGGCUUGCUGCGCAAAAUCAGUCAUGGGUCCAUUCUGGGUGUGUAAAGCUUUGGGAGAACUCAACGCUGCUUGUAAUUCCUAUAGUAUGCCCCAUAUGUGGGGCGGACAGAGGAAUGGGCACUUCUGUCCUUGUAAGCAGCAUCUAGCAUGUGUAGGACAUAGACGAGGAGGGUGCGAUCUAAUAAGUGAUAAGUAGCUUGGUGUGUGUCCAUGGAGAUGGUGCACAUGAAAAGAGUCCUUUGUGACACAGAACCUUUGAAAAAAUAAAAAUGUGAAAUAAAAAAAAACAA
Molecule: long non-coding RNA, 1080 nt
Organism: Strongylocentrotus purpuratus (purple sea urchin)
Lineage: Eukaryota; Metazoa; Echinodermata; Echinoidea; Camarodonta; Strongylocentrotidae
Exons: 2
Source: RefSeq, a predicted model, not a curated record